AUGCUCUGGUGUCCUGCCCCCGCACAAGCCUUUCGCCUUUUACUAAAGACUUCCGUGGAGAGGAACACCAAUGAGUUGAACCUAUUUUUGGCAGGCUUUGUCAUUUGGCUG
Small nuclear RNA from Cottoperca gobio, 111 nucleotides. Its record names the gene U5. It matches the Rfam family "U5 spliceosomal RNA". From Rfam's summary of the family: U5 RNA is a component of both types of known spliceosome. The precise function of this molecule is unknown, though it is known that the 5' loop is required for splice site selection and p220 binding, and that both the 3' stem-loop and the Sm site are important for Sm protein binding and cap methylation. NCBI's taxonomy places the organism in Eukaryota, Metazoa, Chordata, Actinopteri, Perciformes, Bovichtidae. The record is from Ensembl.